Molecule: transfer RNA, 66 nt
Filed under: Eucnemidae sp. GENSP01
Lineage: Eukaryota; Metazoa; Arthropoda; Insecta; Coleoptera; Eucnemidae
Description: tRNA-Asp
Source: RNAcentral
AAAGAUUUAGUUAAAAUAUAACAUUAACUUGUCAUGUUAAAAUUAUUUAAAGAAAAAUAAUCUUUU